UAUGUUAAGUGGAAAAGGAUGUGGCGUUGCCCAGACAACUAGGAUGUUGGCUUAGAAGCAGCCAUCAUUUAAAGAGUGCGUAAUAGCUCACUAGUCGAGUGACACUGCGCCGAAAAUGUACCGGGGCUAAACAUAUUACCGAAGCUGUGGAUUGUCCUUUGGACAAUGGUAGGAGAGCGUUCUAAGGGCGUUGAAGCAUGAUCGUAAGGACAUGUGGAGCGCUUAGAAGUGAGAAUGCCGGUGUGAGUAGCGAAAGACGGGUGAGAAUCCCGUCCACCGAUUGACUAAGGUUUCCAGAGGAAGGCUCGUCCGCUCUGGGUUAGUCGGGUCCUAAGCUGAGGCCGACAGGCGUAGGCGAUGGAUAACAGGUUGAUAUUCCUGUACCACCUAUAAUCGUUUUAAUCGAUGGGGGGACGCAGUAGGAUAGGCGAAGCGUGCGAUUGGAUUGCACGUCUAAGCAGUAAGGCUGAGUAUUAGGCAAAUCCGGUACUCGUUAAGGCUGAGC
Molecule: ribosomal RNA, 505 nt
Filed under: Staphylococcus aureus
Lineage: Bacteria; Bacillati; Bacillota; Bacilli; Caryophanales; Staphylococcaceae
Description: partial 23S ribosomal RNA
Rfam family: Bacterial large subunit ribosomal RNA
Source: RNAcentral